GAGAGAGACAUGCGCGCAUAUCAAUAAGCGGAGGAAAAGAAACUAACAAGGAUUCCCUUAGUAACGGCGAGUGAAGCGGGAAGAGCUCAAAUUUGAAAUCUUCAAGGUUUUACCUUGACGAAUUGUAGUUUAAAGAAGUGUUUUCUGCUGAAGUUUUGGUAAAAGUUCUUUGGAAUAGGACAUCAUAGAGGGUGAGAAUCCCGUAUUUGACCAUUAUUUUCAGCUUUGUGAUACACUUUCAAAGAGUCGGAUUGUUUGGGAAUGCAGUCCAAAAUGGGUGGUAAAUUUCAUCUAAAGCUAAAUAUUGGCGAGAGACCGAUAGCGAACAAGUACCGUGAGGGAAAGAUGAAAAGAACUUUGAAAAGAGAGUUAAACAGUACGUGAAAUUGUCAAAAGGGAAGCGUUUGACACCAGUGUUGUUUUCUCGAAAAUCAAUUAAAAAUGGCUCGAUUUUGUAUUGUUGAGACCUUAAAAGCUCACUGUACAUUUUUCGUGUCUUUUUUAAUGCACUUUUCGUUUAACAAGGUCAACAUCAGUUUCUUUUGUUGUAAAAGGGUCAUUGGAAGGUGGCUUUCUUUUCGGAGAAAGUGUUUAUAGCCUUUGGCCUCUGCAAUCGAAGAGACUGAGGUCUGCAGCGUAGACUCUUCGGGGUUAGAUACAUUUGUGCUAAGUUAUAGCUUUUUAUAGACAACUUGUUGACUAUAAUUAGUCUUGUAGCUUACUCGCUUAUGCUAUUUUACCUACGCUUAGGAUGUUGAAGUCAUCGUAUCGCGC
This 774-nucleotide ribosomal RNA is filed under the name uncultured Neocallimastigales. RNAcentral's name for it is "partial large subunit ribosomal RNA". It matches the Rfam family "Eukaryotic large subunit ribosomal RNA", at positions 23 to 645 of the family's 3401-position model. The record is from RNAcentral. Lineage: Eukaryota; Fungi; Neocallimastigomycota; Neocallimastigomycetes; Neocallimastigales.